Molecule: long non-coding RNA, 244 nt
Filed under: Elaeis guineensis (African oil palm)
Lineage: Eukaryota; Viridiplantae; Streptophyta; Magnoliopsida; Arecales; Arecaceae
Description: long non-coding RNA (EGUI_LNC069325)
Source: RNAcentral
GUAGUGUGGAAAGGAUUUUAGAGAAAAAAUAAGGAUUUUAGGAAGAUAGACCGUCAGUUUAGAGAAGAGGAUUUGAAGCUAGGGUAAGCUUGAUCCAUCCCAAUGAAGAAGAAAAAGAAAAGAGAUUUAGUUCUUAAAAGGGCGAUUUGAAUGGAGAAACCCAGUGGGAAGAGAGAUUUUAAGAGAAUUUUUGCGGUUGAGAGAGAAGAGAGAGAGAAGAGAGAGGGGAUUUUUGUUCGAUGGG